RNAcentral lists this ribosomal RNA (1276 nucleotides) under metagenome. RNAcentral's name for it is "bacterial LSU rRNA". It matches the Rfam family "Bacterial large subunit ribosomal RNA", at positions 1636 to 2925 of the family's 2925-position model. The record is from RNAcentral.
AGGCGCCCGUACCGUAAACCGACACAGGUGGGUGAGGAGAGUAUCCUAAGGCCAGCGAGAGAACUAUUGUUAAGGAACUCGGCAAAAUGACCCCGUAACUUAGGGAGAAGGGGUGCCUGUCUAUGACAGGCCGCAGAGAGUAGGCCCAAGCGACUGUUUACCAAAAACACAGGUUUCUGCUAAGUCGCAAGACGAUGUAUAGGAGCUGACGCCUGCCCGGUGCUGGAAGGUUAAGGGGAUCUGUUAGAGCAAUCGAAGCAGUGAACUUAAGCCCCAGUAAACGGCGGCCGUAACGAUAACGGUCCUAAGGUAGCGAAAUUCCUUGUCGGGUAAGUUCCGACCCGCACGAAAGGCGUAACGAUUUGGGCACUGUCUCAACAAUAGACUCGGUGAAAUUGUAAUCCCGGUGAAGAUGCCGGGUACCUGCGACAGGACGGAAAGACCCCAUGGAGCUUUACUGUAGCUUGACGUUGGGUCUUGGUACUACAUGUACAGGAUAGGUGGGAGACUAUGAAGCAUGGACGCCAGUCUGUGUGGAGUCAUCCUUGGGAUACCACCCUUGUAGUACUGGGAUCCUAACCAUAGGCCUUGAAUCAGGUCUUGGAACACCGUCAGGUGGGCAGUUUGACUGGGGCGGUCGCCUCCUAAAAAGUAACGGAGGCGCUCAAAGGUUUCCUCAGCACGGUCGGAAAUCGUGCGAAGAGUGUAAAGGCAAAAGGAAGCUUGAUUGCAAGACAUACAGGUCGAGCAAGGACGAAAGUCGGACUUAGUGAUCCGGUGGUACCGCAUGGAAGGGCCAUCGCUCAACGGAUAAAAGCUACCCUGGGGAUAACAGGCUUAUCUCCCCCAAGAGUCCACAUCGACGGGGAGGUUUGGCACCUCGAUGUCGGCUCAUCACAUCCUGGGGCUGUAGUAGGUCCCAAGGGUUGGGCUGUUCGCCCAUUAAAGUGGUACGCGAGCUGGGUUCAGAACGUCGUGAGACAGUUCGGUCCCUAUCCGUCGCAGGCGUAGGAAAUUUGAGAAGACCUGUCCUUAGUACGAGAGGACCGGGAUGGACGUACCUCUGGUGUACCAGUUGUUCUGCCAAGGGCAUGGCUGGGUAGCUAUGUACGGAAUGGAUAAGCGCUGAAAGCAUCUAAGCGCGAAGCCAACUUCAAGAUAAGAUUUCCCACCGUAAGGGUAAGACCCCAGGAAGACUACCUGGUUGAUAGGUCGAAGGUGUAAGUGCAGUAAUGUAUUUAGCUUAUCGAUACUAAUAGGUCGAGGACUUGACCGA